AUGCUUCCGAUAAUUUACAUGGACCAUCUUGAUGUGCCAAGAGGAUGCUUAGUUGAUCACACCAUCAACUACUCGCUUCCUAGAGCUUGUUUUGUUCAUGAAAGGGACUUUUAUGCUGUUGUCGCAGUGGACACCCUAGAUGAUGGGUUUGGGAAGCGUCCAUUCAGGACCAAUACACCGUACGCAGUAGUUGAGUUCAUGUCAUAUAUAGAUCAUCAUCGCCAAGGAGCUGCCAGUGAACAUGUCACAGAGGAAUUGCCGGAAAUCAGCAACCAAGGGGGUGCUGUUGGGGGCGCAACACACACUCCAGAUGUGCCUGAGAGCUCCCACAUGCAAGAAAAUGUACAUGUGGGAGCAGAUGCGGGUUCUCAAAGCCCACCUCACGCUGGCACAGGGGGUACCAAUGGGAGCGCAGAGCAUGUGCAUGAGCCGCCUCCAUCUAACACAGAGAGUGGUGACGACGUGUGCGGCUCUUUGGAGGAGUGGCUCCAUGCAUUGCCGAUAAUCGAGGAGUUAGAGUUGCCCCCACAGAUGCAAGUCAUAUUUAACAAGCACAAAGAGCUCCAUGCCAGAGAACUUAAUGUUGCAUUCAGCUCAUUUGGGAGGAUCUUGCAAGGCAUGUACUGCAAGCGAAUGGGCCUAAUAUUGUCUGAGGCACACAAAGCUGAGUGCAGCAUUCAUGGACAGAGAGCCGAAGGUGAAGGCAUCACUUUCAGUGUACCAGGGGGGUCUUCUGCUGCAGGCAUGUCUGAUAGGACUGCAACUGAACCUUUUGCGCAACAGCCCAAGCAUCCAGAGCAGCCCAACAUUCAUCCUGUCAUUGUACCGUCUCCGCAACAGCCCAAGCAACCAGCCACUGCCACUGUACCAUCUCCGCAACAGCCCAAGCAACCAGCCACUGCCACUGUACCAUCUCCGCAACAGCCCAAGCAACCAGCCACUGCCACUGUACCAUCUCCGCAACAGCCCAAGCAACCAGCCACUGCCACUCUACCAUCUCCGCAACAGCCCAAGCAACCAGCAGUGGAAGUAGGUCAAAACAACGACAAUGAUCAGAGCAAUGGCAGGGGAGAAGACUCAGGCAGCAAGGUAAACAUCACUAAAUUUAAGCCUCCUCGCAGCCCAAGCUUCGCACAUGUGAAUCUGACGAGGAGGCCAGGCACGCUUGAAGACGAACCUUCUUUUGGAUUGUUUGAACCGGGGAGUGAUGAUGAUCUACUAUUUCAGGAGUUUCCUCAAGUUCGUACAUCCCCUGUAAAAACUUCUGUUGCAGAUUUGGACUCCUUGUCGAUCCGUACGAGGAGCCCUUUGUUUGGUGAAUCUCCGGCUACCUCAGCUGGGCCAGUUUACGAUGUGACUCCCAUCGCAACACGUCCUCCAAUUUCGACAGGCCCUGCAGAAGCAGGAGUAGCUGAGACAAGAGAGGAGGUGGUGAUUGAAGUGAGCAGCGGGGGAAAACGUGAUGCGAAGAAGCCCACACUCAAGAGAGUUGCAAAAUUGCCAGAAAACGCACCGAAGCUGAAGAGGAUGAAGAAGAUCAAAGUUAAUGCUUCCGAUGAUGCCAUAUAUAAGUAA
Molecule: ribosomal RNA, 1575 nt
Filed under: Triticum aestivum (bread wheat)
Lineage: Eukaryota; Viridiplantae; Streptophyta; Magnoliopsida; Poales; Poaceae
Description: partial small subunit ribosomal RNA
Source: RNAcentral